GACGAACGCUGGCGGCGUGCUUAACACAUGCAAGUCGAACGCUGAAGCUUGGUGCUUGCACCGGGUGGAUGAGUGGCGAACGGGUGAGUAAUACGUGAGUAACCUGCCCUUGACUCUGGGAUAAGCCUGGGAAACUGGGUCUAAUACUGGAUACGACAUGUCACCGCAUGGUGGUGUGUGGAAAGGGUUUUACUGGUUUUGGAUGGGCUCACGGCCUAUCAGCUUGUUGGUGGGGUAAUGGCUCACCAAGGCGACGACGGGUAGCCGGCCUGAGAGGGUGACCGGCCACACUGGGACUGAGACACGGCCCAGACUCCUACGGGAGGCAGCAGUGGGGAAUAUUGCACAAUGGGCGGAAGCCUGAUGCAGCGACGCCGCGUGAGGGAUGACGGCCUUCGGGUUGUAAACCUCUUUCAGCACGGAAGAAGCGAAAGUGACGGUACGUGCAGAAGAAGCGCCGGCUAACUACGUG
RNAcentral lists this ribosomal RNA (472 nucleotides) under uncultured bacterium. RNAcentral's name for it is "partial 16S ribosomal RNA". It matches the Rfam family "Bacterial small subunit ribosomal RNA", at positions 28 to 507 of the family's 1533-position model. The record is from RNAcentral.